AAGGAUAUGGCUCAGUUGGUAGAGUGCUUGCCUACCAUGCACAAGGCCCUGGGUUCAAUCCUCAGUACUGUCA
This 73-nucleotide transfer RNA is filed under the name Ictidomys tridecemlineatus (thirteen-lined ground squirrel). RNAcentral describes it as "Spermophilus tridecemlineatus (thirteen-lined ground squirrel) tRNA". It matches the Rfam family "tRNA". Rfam says of the family: Transfer RNA (tRNA) molecules are approximately 80 nucleotides in length. Their secondary structure includes four short double-helical elements and three loops (D, anti-codon, and T loops). Further hydrogen bonds mediate the characteristic L-shaped molecular structure. tRNAs have two regions of fundamental functional importance: the anti-codon, which is responsible for specific mRNA codon recognition, and the 3' end, to which the tRNAs corresponding amino acid is attached (by aminoacyl-tRNA synthetases). tRNAs cope with the degeneracy of the genetic code in two manners: having more than one tRNA (with a specific anti-codon) for a particular amino acid; and 'wobble' base-pairing, i.e. permitting non-standard base-pairing at the 3rd anti-codon position. Lineage: Eukaryota; Metazoa; Chordata; Mammalia; Rodentia; Sciuridae. The record is from Rfam by way of RNAcentral.